AACGAACGCUGGCGGCAUGCCUAACACAUGCCAGUCGAACGAGACCUUCGGGUCUAGUGGCGCACGGGUGCGUAACGCGUGGGAACCUGCCCUUAGGUUCGGAAGAACUCCCCGAAAGGGGUGCUAAUACCGGAUAAUGUCCUCGGACCAAAGAUUUAUCGCCUUUGGAUGGGCCCGCGUUGGAUUAGCUAGUUGGUAGGGUAAAAGCCUACCAAGGCGACGAUCCAUAGCUGGUCUGAGAGGAUGAUCAGCCACACUGGCACUGAGACACGGCCCAGACUCCUACGGGAGGCGGGAGUGGGGAAUAUUGGACAAUGGGCGAAAGCCUGAUCCAGCAAUGCCGCGUGAGUGAUGAAGGCCUUAGGGUUGUAAAGCUAUUUUACCCGGGAUGAUAAUGACAGUACCGGGAGAAUAAGCUCCGGCUAACUCCGUG
This 433-nucleotide ribosomal RNA is filed under the name uncultured bacterium. RNAcentral describes it as "partial 16S ribosomal RNA". It matches the Rfam family "Bacterial small subunit ribosomal RNA", at positions 29 to 507 of the family's 1533-position model. The record is from RNAcentral.